This 316-nucleotide ribosomal RNA is filed under the name uncultured bacterium. RNAcentral describes it as "bacterial SSU rRNA". It matches the Rfam family "Bacterial small subunit ribosomal RNA", at positions 28 to 334 of the family's 1533-position model. The record is from RNAcentral.
GACGAACGCUGGCGGCGUGCCUAAUACAUGCAAGUCGAGCGGACCGAAGGGAGCUUGCUCCUUUAGGUUAGCGGCGGACGGGUGAGUAACACGUGGGCAACCUGCCCUGCAGACUGGGAUAACUUCGGGAAACCGGAGCUAAUACCGGAUAACACCGAAAACCGCAUGGUUUCGGUUGAAAGGCGGCUUUUAGCUGUCACUGCAGGAUGGGCCCGCGGCGCAUUAGCUAGUUGGUGAGGUAACGGCUCACCAAGGCGACGAUCGGUAGCCGGACUGAGAGGUUGAACGGCCACAUUGGGACUGAGACACGGCCCAG